UAGUUCAUACUAAGCGACCCAUAGUUUGAGGAGGUGGUGACCAUGGCGGUGGAGGAGUAAGAAGCCAACACUGUAUUUUAUGUUUUUUUUUAGUUUUUUUAAUUGUGGUAGCCCCCAAAAUAUUGGGACAUAUAAAAAAAAGACAACUGUUCCGCAGAGUAGCUGUUGACAUUAUAGUUGUGCAGGAACUUUGUUGACUCUAGAGAACCUCAGGCAAAUCGCACAUUCCCGUGGCGGCGACUUUGCAUGCGGAUGUCAUCCAUAUCAACUUUCGAUGCCAGUUUCUGCGCCUACCAUGGUGACCAUGGGUAACAGGGAAUUAGCAUUCCAUACAGGGACCCUGAGAAUCGGCUACCACAUGCAAGGAAGGCAGCAGGCGCAAAUGACCCACUCCCAACACGGGAAGGCAGUGACGAUAAAUAACAAUACUGGACUCUUUAGAGGCCCUGUAAUUGUAAUGAGUCCACUUGAAAUCCUUUAACUCUGAUCAAUUGGAGGGAAGUCUGGUGCAGAGCCACUGACCCGUGCUUGCUGCAAC
RNAcentral lists this ribosomal RNA (538 nucleotides) under Pelobates cultripes (western spadefoot toad). RNAcentral's name for it is "SSU_rRNA_eukarya". It matches the Rfam family "Eukaryotic small subunit ribosomal RNA", at positions 161 to 585 of the family's 1831-position model. The record is from RNAcentral. Lineage: Eukaryota; Metazoa; Chordata; Amphibia; Anura; Pelobatidae.